AUUGAACGCUGGCGGCAGGCCUAACACAUGCAAGUCGAGCGGAUGAAGGGAGCUUGCUCCUGGAUUCAGCGGCUGACGGGUGAGUAAUGCCUAGGAAUCUGCCUGGUAGUGGGGGAUAACGUCCGGAAACGGGCGCUAAUACCGCAUACGUCCUGAUGGAGAAAGUGGGGGAUCUUCGGACCUCACGCUAUCAGAUGAGCCUAGGUCGGAUUAGCUAGUUGGUGGGUAAAGGCCUACCAAGGCGACGAUCCGUAACUGGUCUGAGAGGAUGAUCAGUCAAACUGGAACUGAGACACGGUCCAGACUCCUACGGGAGGCAGCAGUGGGGAAUAUUGGAAAAUGGGCGAAAGCCUGAUCCAGCCAGGCCGCGUGUGGGAAGAAGGUCUUCGGAUUGUAAAGCACUUUAAGUUGGGAGGAAGGGCAGUAAGUUAAUAACUUGCUGUUUUGACGUUACCAACAGAAUAAGCACCGGCUAACUUCGUG
RNAcentral lists this ribosomal RNA (483 nucleotides) under uncultured bacterium. RNAcentral's name for it is "partial 16S ribosomal RNA". It matches the Rfam family "Bacterial small subunit ribosomal RNA", at positions 30 to 507 of the family's 1533-position model. The record is from RNAcentral.